AUACGGAGGGUGCAAGCGUUAUUCGGAAUCACUGGGCGUAAAGGACGCGGAGGCGGGUUGGCAAGUCAGAUGUGAAAUCCUACAGCUUAACUGUAGAACUGCAUUUGAAACUGCUAACCUAGAGUAUGGGAGGGGGAGAUGGAAUUAGUGGUGUAGGGGUAAAAUCCGUAGAUAUCACUAGGAAUACCGAAAGCGAAGGCGAUCUCCUGGAACAUAACUGACGCUAAGGCGUGAAAGCGUGGGGAGCAAACAGGAUUAGAAACCCUUGUAGUCC
RNAcentral lists this ribosomal RNA (274 nucleotides) under uncultured bacterium. RNAcentral describes it as "partial 16S ribosomal RNA". It matches the Rfam family "Bacterial small subunit ribosomal RNA", at positions 523 to 796 of the family's 1533-position model. The record is from RNAcentral.